Molecule: ribosomal RNA, 429 nt
Filed under: Gemmatimonadota bacterium
Lineage: Bacteria; Pseudomonadati; Gemmatimonadota
Description: Gemmatimonadetes bacterium partial 16S ribosomal RNA
Rfam family: Bacterial small subunit ribosomal RNA
Source: RNAcentral
UAGGGAAUCUUCGGCAAUGGACGAAAGUCUGACCGAGCAACGCCGCGUGAGUGAAGAAGGUUUUCGGAUCGUAAAACUCUGUUGUUAGAGAAGAACAAGGACGUUAGUAACUGAACGUCCCCUGACGGUAUCUAACCAGAAAGCCACGGCUAACUACGUGCCAGCAGCCGCGGUAAUACGUAGGUGGCAAGCGUUGUCCGGAUUUAUUGGGCGUAAAGCGAGCGCAGGCGGUUUCUUAAGUCUGAUGUGAAAGCCCCCGGCUCAACCGGGGAGGGUCAUUGGAAACUGGGAGACUUGAGUGCAGAAGAGGAGAGUGGAAUUCCAUGUGUAGCGGUGAAAUGCGUAGAUAUAUGGAGGAACACCAGUGGCGAAGGCGGCUAUCUGGUCUGUAACUGAAGCUGAGGCUAGAAAGCGUGGGGAGCAAACAGG